UUAAAUUAAGAACGACGGUCUAUUCGUUCCAUACAUUGUCCACAUUUUUGAUUUUUUAGCUCGAGAAUCUUGAGUCAGUGUCCCAUAUAGUUGUCACACUGUGUUUACUCAUAUAAACGGGUAUUUAAAUAGGGUUGAAAAAUAAAGAUGUAUUUCAAGCCUUACUUAUUAUUAUUAAUACGAUCGAUGCUAAACUAUCUACGUAUACGACAGUAGUAUAGUUUGUGUAUAAUAUACGUAUACGCGCAUGCCUCAUCGGCUAGCCGACCACCCACAGGACGAACGAUUCACACCUCACCGUCACUCGCACUCACGAACGGUUCGGCCUUUGGAGAAUUAUUAUUAUUAAUAAUAUUACGAAGGUAUUUAAAUAUUAUGAUAGAUAAUAACAUACAUGCUUGCUUGAUUGAUUGGAAACUGAUGACUACUUUCAUUUCCGUUGUCAUAUAUACAUAUGUACCUUGCUUCAUUAUUCUACGUACGAAUGAACGAAGGUACGAAUAAUAAUAAAUCUCCAAAGGACGAGUGGUUGAUUUGUGAGCGCGAGUGAGAGGGAAAUUUCGUUCGUCCUCUGGGUGGUCGGCAUAGCCGGGAGUUGGCGAUUUCGUCGUACGCGCACGGAGUCUGAGGUCGAGUUCGUAUUACCGGUAUGGCUGGGUCGAAUCACGUCUCCCUAGGUCUGAUAUACGUGUGUAGACUAGCUCUAGAUAGCUAGUUAGUCUACGAGAAGAUCGAUAGAUAGAUAUCCCUCUAAACUUCGUUAGUUCGUAGACUACGAAGGUACGAAGGUACCUCGGAAGAACCAACUAUAUGAGCAGCUGACUCAAUCAAGGUUCUCGAGCUAAAAAUAAGAAAAUGUCAUCAACUAUAUGUAGCGAUAGACCAUCGUUAUUGAUUUAAUGAUGUCAAAAAUGUGGACACUCCAUAGAACGAUAGACCAUAUAGUUCUUGAUUUAAUGGUGUCAAAAAUGUCGACAAUGUAUGAGACGAAUAGACCUUCGACCUUGAUAAACGAUACCAGGUGAUUGUUACAUUUUGGAAGUUGGAGUCGUGUAAGUUCGGCUAUGCCGAAUAAUAAUAAUAAUAUGUACUUAAUAAUAUGUACCUUUUAUUACUUGCUUCAUUCGUACAUAUCUUCGAGGGUAUGUACAUAUGUACAUACAUACGUACGUACGUACGUACAUAUGUACCUUCGUUCGUUAUUAAUAAUAAUAAGGUCUACGAACGAAUAUCGAACGAAUGAAGGUAUCUAUCUAAUAUAAAUAAUAAUAAUAUUAUUAUUAUUAUUACGUACAUAUAUUAUGUACGUACGGUAAUAUUUAUUUAAAUUAAUAUUAUUAAUAAUAUUAUGAAGAUAUUAUUAUUACUUCGCUCGAGGAACUUUUUAGCAUAAUUUCCUG
Molecule: long non-coding RNA, 1400 nt
Filed under: Micromonas commoda
Lineage: Eukaryota; Viridiplantae; Chlorophyta; Mamiellophyceae; Mamiellales; Mamiellaceae
Description: long non-coding RNA (MCOM_LNC000486)
Source: RNAcentral